This 507-nucleotide ribosomal RNA is filed under the name uncultured bacterium. RNAcentral describes it as "partial 16S ribosomal RNA". The record is from RNAcentral.
GGAGUUAGCCGGUGCUUCUUCUGUGAGUGAUGUCCUUCCUGCCGGUUAUUGACCCGCAGGCCUUCUUCCUCACUGAAAGUGCUUUACAACCCGAAGGCCUUCUUCACACACGCGGCAUGGCUGGAUCAGGGUUGCCCCCAUUGUCCAAUAUUCCCCACUGCUGCCUCCCGUAGGAGUCUGGGCCGUGUCUCAGUCCCAGUGUGGCUGAUCAUCCUCUCAGACCAGCUACGGAUCGUCGCCUUGGUGAUCCGUUACCUCACCAACCAGCUAAUCCGACAUAGGCUCAUCCGAUAGCGCGAGGCCCGAAGGUCCCCCGCUUUCCCCCGUAGGGCGUAUGCGGUAUUAGCCUGGGUUUCCCCAGGUUAUCCCCCACUACCGGGCAGAUUCCUAUGCAUUACUCACCCGUCCGCCGCUCGCCACCAGGGAGCAAGCUCCCCGUGCUGCCGCUCGACUUGCAUGUGUUAGGCCUGCCGCCAGCGUUCAAUCUGAGCCAUAAUCAAACUCUGA